AACGAACGCUGGCGGCAGGCCUAACACAUGCAAGUCGAGCGAGGACUUCGGUUCUAGCGGCGGACGGGUGAGUAACGCGUGGGAAUGUGCCCUUCUCUACGGAAUAGCCCUGGGAAACUGGGAGUAAUACCGUAUACGCCCUUUUGGGGAAAGAUUUAUCGGAGAAGGAUCAGCCCGCGUUGGAUUAGGUAGUUGGUGGGGUAAUGGCCUACCAAGCCGACGAUCCAUAGCUGGUUUGAGAGGAUGAUCAGCCACACUGGGACUGAGACACGGCCCAGACUCCUACGGGAGGCAGCAGUGGGGAAUCUUAGACAAUGGGGGCAACCCUGAUCUAGCCAGGCCGCGUGAGUGAUGAAGGCCUUAGGGUUGUAAAGCUCUUUCAGCUGGGAAGAUAAGGACGGUACCAGCAGAAGAAGCCCCGGCGAACUCCGU
This 432-nucleotide ribosomal RNA is filed under the name uncultured bacterium. Its description in RNAcentral is "partial 16S ribosomal RNA". It matches the Rfam family "Bacterial small subunit ribosomal RNA", at positions 29 to 506 of the family's 1533-position model. The record is from RNAcentral.